AUUGAACGCUGGCGGCAUGCCUUACACAUGCAAGUCGAACGGCAGCACGGGUGCUUGCACCUGUUGGCGAGUGGCGAACGGGUGAGUAAUACAUCGGAACAUGUCCUGUAGCGGGGGAUAGCCCGGCGAAAGCCGGAUUAAUACCGCAUACGAUCUACGGACGAAAGCGGGGGACCUUCGGGCCUCGCGCUAUAGGGUUGGCAGAUGGCUGAUUAGCUAGUUGGUGGGGUAAAGGCCUACCACGGCGACGAUCAGUAGCGGGUCUGAGAGGACGACCAGCGUCCCUGGGACUGCAGCACGGCCCAGACUCCUACGGGAGGCAGCAGUGGGGAAUUUUGGACAAUGGGCGAAAGCCUGAUCCAGCAAUGCCGCGUGUGUGAAGAAGGCCUUCGGGUUGUAAAGCACUUUUGUCCGGAAAGAAAUCCUUGGCCCUAAUACGGUCGGGGGAUGACGGUACCGGAAGAAUAAGCACCGGCUAACUACGUG
This 486-nucleotide ribosomal RNA is filed under the name uncultured bacterium. Its description in RNAcentral is "partial 16S ribosomal RNA". It matches the Rfam family "Bacterial small subunit ribosomal RNA", at positions 30 to 507 of the family's 1533-position model. The record is from RNAcentral.